Ochotona princeps (American pika) is the source of this 655-nucleotide long non-coding RNA. RefSeq lists it as uncharacterized. The transcript has 4 exons. The record is from RefSeq and is a predicted model, not a curated record. NCBI's taxonomy places the organism in Eukaryota, Metazoa, Chordata, Mammalia, Lagomorpha, Ochotonidae.
CCCAGGGGUUAGGUUUUCCUACCAAAGUAAAUAUUCUCGCGUGGCACCUCUCCCCCACGACGGGCAAAAGGCGUGAACGGGCCCUUUGGUCCCACCUUAUUCACCACUGUAACUCUCAACUAGAUUAGUGUUUCUCCCAGCGACUGCAGACUCUCCUGAGAAUCAGCCUAAGGUCACUGUGUUUGGGUGAUAGUUCCUGACUGUACCAGAGUUCAGCCAAGAGGGGAAGGACUUUGAAGGCUUUGGACUUGAGGAAACAUCACAGAAAGGUGAAGAAGGCUACAGAACUCUAUCAACACUGAGUUGUGAAGCAAGGGGAAAGACUCAUGACCAGGAUCAAAACUUUUUAUGGACAUAGAAGGUUUCCUGAUAGGCCCGUGCUGUUAAAUUUGGGGACUUUGAAGAGAAAGAGGACACCUGAAGAAGGAUCUCUGGUGCCCACCUCCCCGCAGAGACACCGCUGUGCAUAGCUGUACUCACACGAGGUCACCCCCACAAAAGCCGUGGAUGCCAGAAUAUCAAGCACAACUGAGUGUUCAGGAUGCGGCCUUUGGAAGAAGCUCCUAGCUCCUGGCUCCUGGCUUUGGAUCAGCUCAGCUCCAGUCCUUGCGGUCACUUGCGGAGUGAAUCAGUGGAUGGAAGAUCUUUGUCUCCC